GACCCGAUAGCUCAGUGGUAGAGCGUCACUCCCGAGAUGUGGAGGUCCUUGGUUCAAACCCAGGUCGAGUCA
RNAcentral lists this transfer RNA (72 nucleotides) under Schizophyllum amplum. Its description in RNAcentral is "Auriculariopsis ampla tRNA". It matches the Rfam family "tRNA". Rfam says of the family: Transfer RNA (tRNA) molecules are approximately 80 nucleotides in length. Lineage: Eukaryota; Fungi; Basidiomycota; Agaricomycetes; Agaricales; Schizophyllaceae. The record is from Rfam by way of RNAcentral.